AUUGAACGCUGGCGGCAUGCUUUACACAUGCAAGUCGAACGGUAACAGGCCUUCGGGUGCUGACGAGUGGCGAACGGGUGAGUAAUGCAUCGGAACGUGCCCAGAGGUGGGGGAUAACGCAGCGAAAGCUGUGCUAAUACCGCAUGUGAUCUGAGGAUGAAAGCGGGGGACCAGGCAGCAAUGUUUGGCCUCGCGCCUUUGGAGCGGCCGAUGUCAGAUUAGGUAGUUGGUGGGGUAAAGGCCUACCAAGCCGACGAUCUGUAGCUGGUCUGAGAGGACGACCAGCCACACUGGGACUGAGACACGGCCCAGACUCCUACGGGAGGCAGCAGUGGGGAAUUUUGGACAAUGGGCGCAAGCCUGAUCCAGCAAUGCCCCGUGCGGGAAGAAGGCCUUCGGGUUGUAAACCGCUUUUGUACGGAACGAAAAGGCUCUGGCUAAUACCUGGGGCUGAUGACGGUACCGUAAGAAUAAGCACCGGCUAACUACGUG
RNAcentral lists this ribosomal RNA (492 nucleotides) under uncultured bacterium. RNAcentral describes it as "partial 16S ribosomal RNA". It matches the Rfam family "Bacterial small subunit ribosomal RNA", at positions 30 to 507 of the family's 1533-position model. The record is from RNAcentral.